RNAcentral lists this ribosomal RNA (253 nucleotides) under uncultured bacterium. Its description in RNAcentral is "partial 16S ribosomal RNA". It matches the Rfam family "Bacterial small subunit ribosomal RNA", at positions 524 to 776 of the family's 1533-position model. The record is from RNAcentral.
UACGAGAGGCCCAAACGUUAUUCGGAAUUCCUGGGCUUAAAGAGUUCGUAGGCGGUAUGACAAGUAGGGUGUGAAAGCCCUCGGCUCAACCGAGGAAUUGCGCUCUAAACUGUCGUACUUGAGGAAGCUAGAGGUGAGCGGAACUGAUGGUGGAGCGGUGAAAUGCGUUGAUAUCAUCAGGAACACCGGUGGCGAAGGCGGCGCUCUGGACCGAGACUGACGCUGAGGCGCGAAGGCGUGGGGAGCAAACAGG